This 830-nucleotide ribosomal RNA is filed under the name uncultured bacterium. RNAcentral's name for it is "bacterial SSU rRNA". It matches the Rfam family "Bacterial small subunit ribosomal RNA", at positions 21 to 891 of the family's 1533-position model. The record is from RNAcentral.
GGCUCAGGAUGAACGCUGGCGGUCUGCUUAACACAUGCAAGUCGAACGGGAUGCUUUCGGGCAUCUAGUGGCGGACGGGUGAGAACGCGUGAGAAUCUGCCCUCAGGAUGGGGACAACGACUGGAAACGGUCGCUAAUACCCAAUGUGCCGAGAGGUGAAACUUAUAUGGCCUGAGGAUGAGCUCGCGUCUGAUUAGCUAGUUGGUAGUGUAAUGGACUACCAAGGCGACGAUCAGUAGCUGGUCUGAGAGGAUGAUCAGCCACACUGGGACUGAGACACGGCCCAGACUCCUACGGGAGGCAGCAGUGGGGAAUUUUCCGCAAUGGGCGAAAGCCUGACGGAGCAAGACCGCGUGAGGGAGGAAGGCCUACUGGUUGUAAACCUCUUUUGAUAGGGAAGAACACAAUGACGGUACCUAUCGAAUCAGCAUCGGCUAACUCCGUGCCAGCAGCCGCGGUAAUACGGAGGAUGCAAGCGUUAUCCGGAAUUAUUGGGCGUAAAGCGUCCGUAGGUGGUUAGCCAAGUCAGUUGUUAAAGCGUAGAGCUUAACUCUAUAAGGGCAAUUGAAACUGGUUAGCUAGAGUGCGAUAGGGGCAAGGGGAAUUCCCAGUGUAGCGGUGAAAUGCGUAGAUAUUGGGAAGAACAUCGGUGGCGAAAGCGCCUUGCUGGGUCUGCACUGACACUGAGGGACGAAAGCUAGGGGAGCGAAAGGGAUUAGAUACCCCUGUAGUCCUAGCUGUAAACGAUGGGUACUAGGCGUUGUCCGUAUCGACCCGGGCAGUGCCGUAGCUAACGCGUUAAGUACCCCGCCUGGGGAGUACGCUCGCAA